GAGGGUAUCGCUCAACUGGUAGAGUGCAUGCUUAGCGUGCAUGAGGUUCUGGGUUCGAUCUCCAGUACCUCUU
RNAcentral lists this transfer RNA (73 nucleotides) under Camelus bactrianus (Bactrian camel). It matches the Rfam family "tRNA". Rfam says of the family: Transfer RNA (tRNA) molecules are approximately 80 nucleotides in length. Their secondary structure includes four short double-helical elements and three loops (D, anti-codon, and T loops). Lineage: Eukaryota; Metazoa; Chordata; Mammalia; Artiodactyla; Camelidae. RNAcentral also lists the same sequence under 1 other name. The record is from Rfam by way of RNAcentral.